Molecule: ribosomal RNA, 950 nt
Filed under: uncultured archaeon
Lineage: Archaea
Description: bacterial SSU rRNA
Rfam family: Archaeal small subunit ribosomal RNA
Source: RNAcentral
UUCCGGUUGAUCCUGCCGGAGGUCACUGCUAUCGGGGUUCGAUUAAGCCAUGCGAGUCGAGAGGGUUCGGCCCUCGGCGUACUGCUCAGUAACACGUGGAUAACCUGCCCUAGGGGAGGGGAUAACCCCGGGAAACUGGGGAUAAUACCCUAUAGGUUACAGAUGCUGGAAUGCCCUGUAACCAAAAGCUCCGGCGCCCUAGGAUGGAUCUGCGGCCGAUUAGGUUGUUGUUGGGGUAACGGCCCAACAAGCCCGUAAUCGGUACGGGUUGUGGGAGCAAGAGCCCGGAGUUGGAUUCUGAGACACGAAUCCAGGCCCUACGGGGCGCAGCAGGCGCGAAACCUUUACAAUGCGGGCAACCGUGAUAAGGGAACCUCGAGUGCCUGUAAACGCAGGCUGUUCAGGUGUUUAAAACGCACCUGGAGAAAGGGCCGGGCAAGACCGGUGCCAGCCGCCGCGGUAAUACCGGCGGCUCGAGUGGUGGCCGCUUUUAUUGGGAUUAAAGCGUUCGUAGCUGGGUUGUUAAGUCUCUUGGGAAAUCUGGCGGCUUAACCGUCAGGCGUCUAAGGGAUACUGGCAAUCUUGGAACCGGGAGAGGUGAGGGGUACUUCGGGGGUAGGGGUGAAAUCCUGUAAUCCUCGAGGGACCACCUGUGGCGAAGGCGCCUCACCAGAACGGCUUCGACAGUGAGGGACGAAAGCUGGGGGAGCAAACCGGAUUAGAUACCCGGGUAGUCCCAGCCGUAAACGAUGCGCGUUAGGUGUAUCGGUGACCACGAGUUACCGAGGUGCCGAAGGGAAACCGUGAAACGCGCCGCCUGGGAAGUACGGUCGCAAGGCUGAAACUUAAAGGAAUUGGCGGUGGAGCACCACAACGGGUGGAGCCUGCGGUUUAAUUGGAUUCAACGCCGGAAAUCACUAGUGCGGCCGCCUGCAGGUCGACCAUAUGGG